Molecule: long non-coding RNA, 225 nt
Organism: Herpailurus yagouaroundi (jaguarundi)
Lineage: Eukaryota; Metazoa; Chordata; Mammalia; Carnivora; Felidae
Exons: 2
Source: RefSeq, a predicted model, not a curated record
UUUCCAGGGGAAUUCUACCACACAUUUAAGGAAGAGUUAACACCUAUUCUCUUUAAGCUGUUCCAAAAAAUAGAAAUGGAAGGAAAACUUCCAAACUCCUUCUAUGAACCCAGCAUUACCUUGACAAGGUAAUACCAGACAAAGACCCCACUAAAAAGGAGAACUACAGACCAAUUUCCCUGAUGAACAUGGAUGCAAAAAUCCUUAACAAGAUACUAGCCAACC